GCCAGAUUCUCUGGGUGCUUUCUUCUUUCUUAGUUCCCCCUUUAUUGUGGGCCCUCCUCAGUGCCAACAUUGCUUUGUCUCUCGCUGGAGAAGCCUGUGAGAACGAGGAUGGGCAAAGUGUCAGGCUCUUGGUGCAGCUGAAAAUCCUUUGAGAUGGAAGAAAUGGCUGGAACAAAGGGGCAGAGGAACAAAAAGCCCUGAACUGCUUCGCCCCUGCCUCGUGGGGUCUUUAUCAUCUUAAACCUUGGGAUUUGGGCUUUGAUCAACUCGGCCUUCCUGGGCCUCGGGGAGAGAGACGGACUGCCUCCGGGUGCUCAUGACCUUUCCAGCAGUAAGCCAAUAAUGUAUGACUCCUGCGUUGCCGUUGCUCGUUUGAGGAACAUCUGUCCAGUCCCUGGGAUGGUGAGGCUAUAACCACAAAGGAAUAAGAGAAGACGACUAGUUUUGUAAUGGGGACAUUGGCUGCUGUCUUCUGACCCACCCUGUGUGGCUUUGGCGUCUCCUGUGACCUCCCAGUAUGGGUCUUGGCCUCAUCCUGCCUCUUUGUCUUUCUGGCCCACCACCCACAGCUUGAAUCUCAGGCUCCAACAGUUGCCUGACCCCCAGAUUCUGAUGACAGCCUACCUACUUGUUCUUCAGGCCCUCACCAGACUCACUGCCCAGACACACCACACAGGAGAACAUGAAAGGGUGAAUGAAUCUUUCAUCAUUUGAUGACCAAGUUGGCAUUCUUUUACAUUCCAGCCACCAGAGGAAGGUGUAUUUUAACACAAUUGCCCUCACAUCCUCCUUAACAGGAUUUACAUAAGUUUAUUAACACAUAUGUUUCUACAAAAUCAAGUUUUGAGAACCAUUUUUAUACACUGAUCUGGGACAUUUUGGGGAUAUGAAAUUAACUUUAGCACACACAGCAAGAAGAAAACCGAACAACAAAUUCUACAAACACCAAAUUUGCUGUGAAAUUUACAUUUCAGAAUCUCUCAAGAAAUAGUGCCCAGCAGCAAUUCUUACUGUUUUCACUUUUUCCCCCGUCUUCACAUUUUUAUGUUUGACAGUGCCAACAUAUUUUCUCAACAUUUAUUCUGAAAGGAAUGUACUUUGUGAAUUCCUUAAAUGCAGGAUGAUUCUGAUUUUAUUGGCCUAAUAGCUCCUCCUUAUGCGUGGGUUAGUAUAACAGAAUGCAUUUGAGACCUGCUAUACUAUUUUAAAUUAAGACAUUUCAUGUAGCACAUAGUAUUUUAAAAUGAAGAACAUUGUCUUGGAAAGCACACAGGCUAACUGCUAUUUUCUUGAUGCAAGAAAUAUUUAAAUUCUCUGUGCUUCAGUCUAUACAAUCAGUUUUCCAGGGAUGCUGUGUAUAUAAAACGAGGGAGUGUAUUAAGAGUAUCAGCAUGUAGUAGGUCCUUCAACAGAAGCUGGAGGUUCUGGCUCAAGGUCUGGCUUGUGUUCAAUGAACACCAAACCACAUAAUUGCCC
Molecule: long non-coding RNA, 1476 nt
Filed under: Homo sapiens (human)
Lineage: Eukaryota; Metazoa; Chordata; Mammalia; Primates; Hominidae
Description: HSALNT0224904
Source: RNAcentral